CCUACGGGAGGCAGCAGUGGGGAAUCUUGCACAAUGGAGGAAACUCUGAUGCAGCGAUGCCGCGUGAGUGAAGAAGGCCCUUGGGUUGUAAAGCUCUUUCGUCGGGGAAGAUAAUGACUGUACCCGA
RNAcentral lists this ribosomal RNA (127 nucleotides) under uncultured bacterium. RNAcentral describes it as "partial 16S ribosomal RNA". It matches the Rfam family "Bacterial small subunit ribosomal RNA", at positions 338 to 482 of the family's 1533-position model. The record is from RNAcentral.